AGUGAAGGUAGAGGUGCGAACUUCAUCAGUAAAAGCUUGGAGAAGAAUGAGCUUCCAUGAAAAGCUUUGAAAGGGUACGUUCGCCGAAGUGGAGAAAAUCUCAUCAUUUUUUCUGCUGGUUCUGCAUUGAAUAAAUGCAGGAUUGUCAGGACAAUGCCGUCCUGGAGAGCUAUCUCACUG
RNAcentral lists this non-coding RNA (180 nucleotides) under Bacillus sp. (in: firmicutes). RNAcentral's name for it is "Bacillus sp. Lysine sequence". It matches the Rfam family "Lysine riboswitch aptamer". Rfam says of the family: Riboswitches are metabolite binding domains within certain messenger RNAs that serve as precision sensors for their corresponding targets. The record is from RNAcentral. Lineage: Bacteria; Bacillati; Bacillota; Bacilli; Caryophanales; Bacillaceae.